UUGCAAAGUAUUCUGAAAUAUAAAGAGUCCUGCCUGCCCAGUGACUUAGUUAACCGGCCCGCGGUAUUUUGCCCGUGCAAAGGUAGCAUAAUCAUUUGCCUCUUAAAUGGAGGCUGGUAUGAAUGGCAAGACGGGGAAUCAAGCUGUCUCUUUCUUAUACCUGGAAGUUAAUAUUUUUGUGAAGAAGCAAAAAUAAGAUCGCAGGACGAGAAGACCCUAUCGAGCUUCAGUAGAGACAGGUGUGCAAGUAUUAAUGGUGUUUCAGCAGCUAAUAGAUUAUUUAGAAAUAGUCUUGAGUUUACUUGCUAAAACAAUUGUAUUGUUCAUCCUAUACUUAGGUUGGGGCAACCACGGAGAAUAAGAACCCUCCGUUAAGUUACUGGUAAAGUUACUUCUUUCUGGUGCAGGAAUUUUGCAAUAAAAUGAUCCACUUUAAGGAGUGAACAAAGGAAAAAGUUACCGUAGGGAUAACAGCGUAAUUUCUUUGGAGAGUUCAUAUUGAUAAAGAAGUUUGCGACCUCGAUGUUGGAUCGGGAUUUCCUGGAGAUGCAGCAGUUUCCGAGGGUUGGUCUGUUCGACCAUU
RNAcentral lists this ribosomal RNA (583 nucleotides) under Dermasterias imbricata. RNAcentral's name for it is "partial 16S ribosomal RNA". It matches the Rfam family "Bacterial large subunit ribosomal RNA", at positions 1826 to 2589 of the family's 2925-position model. The record is from RNAcentral. Lineage: Eukaryota; Metazoa; Echinodermata; Asteroidea; Valvatida; Poraniidae.